Molecule: ribosomal RNA, 440 nt
Filed under: uncultured bacterium
Lineage: Bacteria
Description: partial 16S ribosomal RNA
Rfam family: Bacterial small subunit ribosomal RNA
Source: RNAcentral
CCUACGGGUGGCAGCAGUGGGGAAUAUUGCACAAUGGGGGAAACCCUGAUGCAGCAACGCCGCGUGAGUGAUGACGGCCUUCGGGUUGUAAAGCUCUGUCUUCAGGGACGAUAAUGACGGUACCUGCGGACGAAGCCACGGCUAACUACGUGCCAGCAGCCGCGGUAAUACGUCGGGGGCGAGCGUUGUCCGGAUUUACUGGUGGGAAAGGGAGCGUAGGCGGACGUUUAAGUGUGGUGUGAAAUACUCGGGCUCAACUUGAGUGCUGCAUUUGAAACUGGAAGUCUAGAGUGCAGGAGAGGAGAAUGGAAUUCCUAGUGUAGCGGUGAAAUGCGUAGAGAUUAGGAAGAACACCAGUGGCGAAGGCGAUUCUCUGGACUGUAACUGACGCUGAGGCUCGAAAGCGUGGGGAGCAAACAGGAUUAGAUACCCGUGUAGUC